This 212-nucleotide long non-coding RNA is filed under the name Amborella trichopoda. RNAcentral describes it as "long non-coding RNA (ATRI_LNC000886)". Lineage: Eukaryota; Viridiplantae; Streptophyta; Magnoliopsida; Amborellales; Amborellaceae. The record is from RNAcentral.
AUGAAGACAGAGAUUUGUAUAAUUGUUUUGUUCAAUUAUGUGUGGAAGUAACUCUAUACGAGGUAUAUUAGCAUUAUUCAAUUUGUAAGGUGUGGCUACUGUUUCAUAGACAACUAUUUGGGUAGAUGGCGAUCCUUCAGUUUGUUCUGAAGCUUUUGGUACCGUAGUUGCCAUCCCUUGUAUUUUCAGACUUUGUUCUGGAGGGUGUAUGG